This is a long non-coding RNA of Austrofundulus limnaeus, 532 nucleotides long. RefSeq lists it as uncharacterized. The record is from RefSeq and is a predicted model, not a curated record. The transcript has 4 exons. NCBI's taxonomy places the organism in Eukaryota, Metazoa, Chordata, Actinopteri, Cyprinodontiformes, Rivulidae.
CAAGAAGGUGGUGAAAACCAGGGUAUGCUUUAAAAUUAGUUUUCUAUUUUACAAAAAAAUGUUUUAAAAGCUAAAAACAAACAAAAACUAAACUAAAAAAAAAUCCCUAAAAAUUCUGUUGCGUUCAAUGGAAGACCAACUUUUUAUUGCUGCUGGACCAAGAAAACUCGUGCAACGAACGGAGACAACUCUAACACGGAAGUCACUGAUUUCUUUUUCCGGUCCAAGAGAAGAUGAAGGUUUCCGAAGUCAGAGGAGCAUGAAGCAAGGGCAAGUAUGAAGAUGGAGCUGGAGAGUGGGCAGAGCCAGCUUCCAGUUUGAUGGUGAAAUGUGAAAAUACUAUUCUUCCAAACUGAGGUCAAUUCAAAGAAAUUUCUACAACAGAGAUGAUAAAACAAGAUGUGGACGUUCGUUCAGUCAUCCUUCUUGCUAAUGUAAGAGUCGCUUCUGCUCGGAUGAUCAAGAUGAUGAAGAUGAGAGCGCAGCAGAGCAGCAGCUGAUAUGCUCAGGAGGCAGAAGCUCAUUGUAUGGC